UGAGGAAUAUUGGUCAAUGGGCGGAAGCCUGAACCAGCCAAGUCGCGUGAGGGAAGACGGUCCUAUGGAUUGUAAACCUCUUUUGCCGGGGAGCAAUGCCACUCUUGCGAGAGUGGAGGGAGAGUACCCGGAGAAAAAGCAUCGGCUAACUCCGUGCCAGCAGCCGCGGUAAUACGGAGGAUGCGAGCGUUAUCCGGAUUUAUUGGGUUUAAAGGGUGCGUAGGCGGGCUGUUAAGUCAGCGGUCAAAUGUCGGUGCUCAACGCCGGCCUGCCGUUGAAACUGGCGGUCUUGAGUGAGCGAGAAGUAUGCGGAAUGCGUGGUGUAGCGGUGAAAUGCAUAGAUAUCACGCAGAACUCCGAUUGCGAAGGCAGCAUACCGGCGCUCAACUGACGCUGAGGCACGAAAGCGUGGGGAUCGAACAGG
Molecule: ribosomal RNA, 424 nt
Filed under: uncultured bacterium
Lineage: Bacteria
Description: bacterial SSU rRNA
Rfam family: Bacterial small subunit ribosomal RNA
Source: RNAcentral